AAGACAGUUAACUAGUUUCAAUAUUUACAUUGUCGUAAUAAAUGGAUCUUUUCUUUCGUUAAAACUGAAUCGCUUUAAUAUUUACAUUGUGGUAAUAAAAUGGAUCUUUUUUUUGUGUGUUAAAACUGAAUCGCUUUAAUAUUAGUAGUUCUCGAUAAAAAAACCAUACAAAAAUAAGAAAUUUGUGUUUUCUACUAUUUCUUACCACUACUUUUGUUUUUUUGUUUGUCAACUCAUUGCCACUAUACAUUUACCACUUCUAACUAUGUAAGCAUAUCAGAGCUAUCUUUUAUCACCAUUACAAUAUUUUUUUCAGGGAUCGAAUGCUCUCUAAAGCAACAUUAAUGCGAAAUAUGUCACUAUAUCAGAUAUCUUAAUAUGAUCGAAGUUGACGUAUUCCACGAGACUGAGUCAUGUAGAAUGAUAAAUAACGAAAAAAAUUAGGAGGUAAAUUAGAUGCGAGAUUCGUUUUAGAAUAUAGAAGUACAAAAUAAAGGAGAGGAGUACACGAAACCAAACAAAACAAGAGUGUUAAUUAAUUUGGUUUAAUUAAGGGGGAGAUAUUGGUGACGACAACAUGGAGUUGGGCCCUUUGGCUUUUUGCUUUCCAAGCAGUAAUGAUGAAGAAGUGAACACUUCUAUUGACAACGAAUAAAGAUUAUUCAAAACAAAAAAUAGUUAUAAUAUUUUUUGUUUAAUAAUUUCUCUAGAGAAAAAGGAAUUUGUCUCUAUGUCAUAAUCUUCAUAAAAAGCAUUGCCAAAUCUUAUGGCCACAUGGACGGUGUUAGCCUUUAUACCCUACUCGCUACUCUCAUCUAUUGCCUUCACAUUUUCUUCAUUAUUACAUCUCUUAGCUGUGACAAAAAAAAUGAUGUAACUUUUGUAUAAAUUGUCAUCAUUAUGGAUUUGUUCAUAAAAUAGGUUGAGCCUAUUAAUGCUCACGGAUC
RNAcentral lists this long non-coding RNA (947 nucleotides) under Brassica napus (rape). RNAcentral's name for it is "long non-coding RNA (BNAP_LNC006289)". The record is from RNAcentral. Lineage: Eukaryota; Viridiplantae; Streptophyta; Magnoliopsida; Brassicales; Brassicaceae.